Molecule: non-coding RNA, 31 nt
Filed under: Mus musculus (house mouse)
Lineage: Eukaryota; Metazoa; Chordata; Mammalia; Rodentia; Muridae
Source: RNAcentral
UAGAACAAGCUAAGAUCUUUCUAAGAUAGGC